GUGGGGAAUAUUGCACAAUGGGCGAAAGCCUGAUGCAGCAACGCCGCGUGAGUGAUGAAGGUCUUCGGAUUGUAAAGCUCUGUCUUUUGGGACGAUAAUGACGGUACCAAAGGAGGAAGCCACGGCUAACUACGUGCCAGCAGCCGCGGUAAUACGUAGGUGGCGAGCGUUGUCCGGAUUUACUGGGCGUAAAGGGUGCGUAGGCGGAUGUUUAAGUGAGAUGUGAAAUACCCGGGCUUAACUUGGGUGCUGCAUUUCAAACUGGAUAUCUAGAGUGCAGGAGAGGAGAAUGGAAUUCCUAGUGUAGCGGUGAAAUGCGUAGAGAUUAGGAAGAACACCAGUGGCGAAGGCGAUUCUCUGGACUGUAACUGACGCUGAGGCACGAAAGCGUGGGUAGCAAACAGGAUUAGAUA
RNAcentral lists this ribosomal RNA (413 nucleotides) under uncultured bacterium. RNAcentral's name for it is "partial 16S ribosomal RNA". It matches the Rfam family "Bacterial small subunit ribosomal RNA", at positions 354 to 784 of the family's 1533-position model. The record is from RNAcentral.